ACUGGAACUUAAGGUGCUGACAGCAUUGAGCUUUUAUGCCAUGGGUUCAUAUCAGAAAGGUGUUGCUAAUGAGGUACAUAUGAAUCAAAAAAGUGUAAGUCGGUGUAUCAGAGAGGUGACAAAAGCUCUGAAUGAGAUUUCAAAUAAAUGGAUACAAUUCCCACAAACAAGCACACAAAGAACUAAAAUUAAGCAAGGAUUUUAUACUAAGUUUAAUUUUCCUGGUGUAAUUGGUGCCAUUGAUUGCACCCAUGUGGCCAUAGUUC
Long non-coding RNA from Papilio machaon (common yellow swallowtail), 266 nucleotides. RefSeq lists it as uncharacterized. The transcript has 3 exons. The record is from RefSeq and is a predicted model, not a curated record. NCBI's taxonomy places the organism in Eukaryota, Metazoa, Arthropoda, Insecta, Lepidoptera, Papilionidae.